AAGCUUGUCUUGGAAGUUGCUGGCCAGAUGGGGUGUUUGGAUGUUCUAGCAGCUGCUGUGGUAUCCAGUGAGAUUGUGAGACCCAGUCUGAAAACCAAGGGGAUGAAGAUCUCUCUUUUCUUCUGUUUCCUCCUAGCUACAAGGUGUUUCCUUGUAGCAUAAUGGGUAAUCAAUCACCUGUAUGGAACUCCGGAAGCCAAACUUCAACUAAGACUAAAGAAGGAGGCCUCCAUGCUCAGUACCAGACACUGAGAAACCAGGAGUACACUUUUGUAUUUGUGGUUAAACUGGAUUCAUGUAUUCUCCGAGUGGAUAUUUUUAGAUUUGGAGUUGUCUUUGAAAAGAAUAGAAAUGAGGUAAUGUUUAGUAUGACAGUGAUGCUGAAAAAAACUCAGUGCUGGGAAUGAACUUUCAACUCCCCUUCCUGGAAGACACAUAUAACAGUGCACAGAACACAUAAUAAAUAAUUCUAUUGGCCCAUACCUCUGUCUAUGCUGUCAAGAAAGGAAGAAUGGAAACAGGCCAAAAGGAUGGAUACACAGAAAUGUCCCAAGU
RNAcentral lists this long non-coding RNA (555 nucleotides) under Mus caroli (Ryukyu mouse). Its description in RNAcentral is "lncRNA (MGP_CAROLIEiJ_G0005821.1)". The record is from RNAcentral. Lineage: Eukaryota; Metazoa; Chordata; Mammalia; Rodentia; Muridae.